This 468-nucleotide ribosomal RNA is filed under the name uncultured bacterium. Its description in RNAcentral is "partial 16S ribosomal RNA". It matches the Rfam family "Bacterial small subunit ribosomal RNA", at positions 28 to 507 of the family's 1533-position model. The record is from RNAcentral.
GACGAACGCUGGCGGCGUGCUUAACACAUGCAAGUCGAACGGAAAGGCCCUGCUUUUGUGGGGUGCUCGAGUGGCGAACGGGUGAGUAACACGUGAGUAACCUGCCCUUGACUUUGGGAUAACUUCAGGAAACUGGGGCUAAUACCGGAUAGGAGCUCCUGCUGCAUGGUGGGGGUUGGAAAGUUUCGGUGGUUGGGGAUGGACUCGCGGCUUAUCAGCUUGUUGGUGGGGUAGUGGCUUACCAAGGCUUUGACGGGUAGCCGGCCUGAGAGGGUGACCAGCCACAUUGGGACUGAGAUACGGCCCAGACGCCUACGGGAGGCAGCAGUGGAGAAUAUUGCACAAUGGGCGGAAGCCUGAGGCAGCAACGCCGCGUGCGGGAUGACGGCCUUCGGGUUGUAAACCGCUUUCGCCUGUGACGAAGCGUGAGUGACGGUAAUGGGUAAAGAAGCACCGGCUAACUACGUG